Long non-coding RNA from Anguilla anguilla (European eel), 2348 nucleotides. RefSeq lists it as uncharacterized. The transcript has 3 exons. The record is from RefSeq and is a predicted model, not a curated record. Lineage: Eukaryota; Metazoa; Chordata; Actinopteri; Anguilliformes; Anguillidae.
AUGAGAACCAACAGUUGGGAAGGAAAAUCACUGUCGUCUGGCAGAAAUUUCAGAAUGUGUAUUGAAAUGCUAAAUAGCCUACAAACAUUUUGAAGAGACCAUGGUCAAUUCGCAAGUGUGCUUUGAUUGUACUACUAAAUAUUAUAUGUGCCUAGCACUUCUGUGUAAUUACGACUGUUCGAGUUUCAGAGGCCUUGUUCAAGGCGCGAAUGAAUUAUGGUCGCUGUCCGUUGGAAGACUGUGGAUGACAAGUAACAAAAUUACCACUCAGUUUGAGAAAGGCUUUAAGUGUGCUUUUCUUCUGAAGCAACCCGAAGGGAGGAUAUGUAAAGCUACAUAUUUAUUUAUUGAACUUGAAACUGUACUAGGUCUCUUGCCGUAGCGCCAAACCUUGUUUAGUGAGUAGGUCGAGUUGUUGUUCGCUGGCUAAAUAGUGUCCUUAUAGUUAUUUUAAAGCACCAAACUAAUUUAUAGUUUAGUGUUAUGCCAUCGCUGUCUUUUGAUUUAAUUAUGGUCUAGUUUGUUUUGUUUAAGUAGACAUAUAUUGGCUAUUUUAGCAUAGGGGCCUAUUAAACUCUAAAUUGUAGCUGGCUACAAUGUAGUCGACCUAUAAUAUUGCUAGCUAUGUUUACCUGGCUUAGAUAGUAGGCCUAUUCAUGUGGGUGCAAAAGCUUAACUCAAAAACACUUGAAUUAACAUUCCCGUUGAUUGAACUCUGAGCGGCACCACCCACCUUAGCUAAGGUCAAGUUUCAGGUAGGCAGUCUAGCUUAAUUGUGCUGCAGGACUUCGAGGGACACAGAAGUGACUGGACAACUCUCGCUCAAGACAUCGCUUGGACUUGGAUGGGUGUCUAGCAAACCUACAUGGACUGCAGCAGCAGAAGGCCAUGCCAGAUUUCACUACUGUCAACUGAGAACAGGAAGAUUUCAGCUGCAGUGGACACGUCGUCAGCUUUUCCAUGACGCACCAAUCUUUCGCCUCACACUACUAGCGAGUGUGCGAUGAAGGGUUCUGCGGGUGGUUUGUGACAUGAGUGGGUGUCCCAUUUCUUUCUUUUCUCCUUCCUCCUUCCCUCUUCUCAAAGGUCUGGUGGUGUUCCACAGUAUCAGUGGCUUGACCGCAGCUGUGGUAGAAUAUCAGACUGGCGGACAAGGCCGGAUUCAAUCUAGAGUUACCACUGGCCUCCCUGACGCGGAAACCGGGACAGUCCACGAGGGCACCCUGUGCUGGAGGAGUCCCGCCAUCCGGGUGCAGCACUGCUGCUGCGGGACGCCCAACACUGGAGACCAGAGGGGGGCGCGGAGCUGCCCGUUAGGGAGGCCCGAAAGCGUUCCUCACUCCGGGCCUCCCCAGCUGGUUGCUAGUCCUCCGCGUUGGUCUCUGCUUCUCCUGUGUCGUGUCUCCUAGGCCCAGAGGACCAGCAGGCAGACAGAAGGACCAGACCAGCGGACCUUCCUGAGAUGGACCAUGACGAUGAGACCAGGAAGGUCGUUUCUGAGGGCUGAGUGUGGACAGAAAGUGGCUGGUCCAACUGAAAUCCAAGCCCUCUGCAGUGGGGGGGUGACCCAGUGGUUGUGCCUGAAGGUGUUGUAACCCCAGCUGUGGCGCUAAGCAGCUAUGGAAGGACAAACCGAACAACAGGCAAGUCGUUCUUCCUGAAGCUGACACGCCCCACUGGUACCUCAGCCAGUACCAGUCGUGAGAGACCGUCUCUCAGAGCAGCGUGUGAUUAGACAUUAGAUCUCCCAGGGAGGCAGGGUUUCAUACAGCAGGACUGUAUUCACCUACUGCACAAGUGCUGUGACUCAGCGGAUACCGUGACGUCUUUCAAUCAAACAGCGGUGCCGCCUCCUAGGGUUUGAUAAUCCUGCUGAACCUGGUCACAGGUCAGUCCCACACCACUCAAAAGCAGGGAGGGAGAGUUUGCAGACAGGCGUCUCCUCCCCUCCUCCCCUAGCUGAGUUCGUUCGCGCGCUUUUCUCAGGUGAGCAUUGAGACACUGCGGAGACUCGCGCUCGUGCCUUGAGUAGAGCAGGUGGUUGUCUCUCUCUCUCUCUCUCUCCCGAUGACUCAUCCCUGCUAUCUGUAGGGGCCAACUGCGACUGGGAGUUUUCCAGAGACAGACGUCUGGGCCCACAGAGCCAUAAUGCAUUCCGGUGCCCAAGGGCUGCGACAAACGACUCGUGUCAGAAGGUCCGAGUAGUCCCUGCGAAUCCGGCGGUCCCUGUUCUCGUGUGACCGGGGCGGAGGCGCGAUCGCUUCGUUUGUUGUUUUGAUCAGUAGUACGUGGAUGAGCUGAAUGAAUAAUUCACAAGCGUGGGGGGCAGCGGGCUAAAAAUAAUAAGA